GACGGAAGUUUUCGGAUGGAAGACUGUAAUUCUUAGUGGCGGACGGGUGAGUAACGCGUGGGCAACCUGCCCUAUACAGGGGGAUAGCAGCUGGAAACGGCUGGUAAGACCGCAUAAGUCGGCGAGACCGCAUGGUUUUGCCGGGAAAUGAGCAAUCAGGUAUAGGAUGGGCCCGCGUCCGAUUAGCCAGUUGGCAGGGUAAAAGCCUACCAAAGCAACGAUCGGUAGCCGGACUGAGAGGUCGGACGGCCACAUUGGGACUGAGACACGGCCCAAACUCCUACGGGAGGCAGCAGUGGGGGAUAUUGCACAAUGGAGGAAACUCUGAUGCAGCGACGCCGCGUGAGUGAAGAAGUAUUUCGGUAUGUAAAGCUCUAUCAGCAGGGAAGAUGAUGACGGUACCUGACUAAGAAGCCCCGGCUAACUACGUGCCAGCAGCCGCGGUAAUACGUAGGGGGCAAGCGUUAUCCGGAUUUACUGGGUGUAAAGGGAGCGCAGGCGGUUUGGCAAGUUGAGAGUGGAAGCAGGGGGCUCAACCCCCUGACUGCUCCCAAAACUGUUAAACUUGAGUAUGGGAGAGGCAGGCGGAAUUCCUAGUGUAGCGGUGAAAUGCUUAGAUAUUAGGAAGAACACCGGUGGCGAAGGCGGCCUGCUGGACCAAAACUGACGCUGAGGCUCGAAAGCGUGGGUAGCAAACAGGAUUAGAUACCCUGGUAGUCCACGCUGUAAACGAUGAAUACUAGGUGCUGGGAGGCAUAAGCCUUUCGGUGCCGUCGCAAACGC
This 783-nucleotide ribosomal RNA is filed under the name uncultured Catonella sp. RNAcentral's name for it is "bacterial SSU rRNA". It matches the Rfam family "Bacterial small subunit ribosomal RNA", at positions 65 to 858 of the family's 1533-position model. The record is from RNAcentral. Lineage: Bacteria; Bacillati; Bacillota; Clostridia; Lachnospirales; Lachnospiraceae.